AGUGAACGCUGGCGGUAUGCCUAACACAUGCAAGUCGAACGGCAGCACAGUAAGAGCUUGCUCUUACGGUUGGCGAGGGGCGGACGGGUGAGGAAUACAUCGGAAUCUACUUUUUCGGGGGGGAUAACGUAGGGAAACUUACGCUAAUACCGCAUACUACCUACGGGUUAAAGCAGGGGAUCUUCGGACCUUUCGCGAUUGAAUGAGCCGAUGUCGGAUUAGCUAGUUGGCGGGGUAAGGGCCCACCAAGGCGACGAUCCGUAGCAGGUCUGAGAGGAUGAUCAGCCACACUGGAACUGAGACACGGUCCAGACUCCUACGGGAGGCAGCAGUGGGGAAUAUUGGACAAUGGGCGCAAGCCUGAUCCAGCCAUACCGCGUGGGUGAAGAAGGCCUUCGGGUUGUAAAGCCCUUUUGUUGGGAAAGAAAAGCAGCAGGUUAAUACCCAGCUGUUCUGACGGUACCCAAAGAAUAAGCACCGGCUAACUUCGUG
RNAcentral lists this ribosomal RNA (492 nucleotides) under uncultured bacterium. RNAcentral's name for it is "partial 16S ribosomal RNA". It matches the Rfam family "Bacterial small subunit ribosomal RNA", at positions 29 to 507 of the family's 1533-position model. The record is from RNAcentral.